CUCGGCACCCCGCGUGGUGGUACCUCACUGAACCCCCCCAGGGCAGGAAUGCAGCAAGGGCAGGUGAGCUCUUCCAGGUACGCGGGGUGUCCUCGUUCCC
This 100-nucleotide signal recognition particle RNA is filed under the name Phycicoccus elongatus Lp2. RNAcentral describes it as "Tetrasphaera elongata Lp2 SRP_bact". It matches the Rfam family "Bacterial small signal recognition particle RNA". Rfam says of the family: The signal recognition particle (SRP) is a universally conserved ribonucleoprotein involved in the co-translational targeting of proteins to membranes. Archaeal SRP consists of a 7S RNA and homologues of the eukaryotic SRP19 and SRP54 proteins. The record is from RNAcentral. Lineage: Bacteria; Bacillati; Actinomycetota; Actinomycetes; Micrococcales; Intrasporangiaceae.